This 959-nucleotide non-coding RNA is filed under the name Rhodeus uyekii. RNAcentral's name for it is "12S ribosomal RNA". It matches the Rfam family "Bacterial small subunit ribosomal RNA". Lineage: Eukaryota; Metazoa; Chordata; Actinopteri; Cypriniformes; Acheilognathidae. The record is from RNAcentral.
CAAAGGCAUGGUCCUGACCUUACUGUCCACUUUUGCCCAACUUACACAUGCAAGUAUCCGCACCCCCGUGAGUACGCCCUCGGUCCCCCGCCCGGGGACCAGGAGCGGGCAUCAGGCGCACUUAAAUUUUAGCCCAAGACGCCCAGCCAAGCCACACCCCUAAGGGAAUUCAGCAGUGAUAGACAUUAAGCCAUGAGUGAAAACUCGACUUAGUCAGGGCUUAGCCGGGCCGGUAAAACUCGUGCCAGCCACCGCGGUUAGACGAGGGGCCCCAGUUGACAGUGGUACGGCGUAAAGGGUGGUUAAGGACAACAAUUAAUAAAGCUGAAUAGCCCCCCGGCCGUCAUACGCUUCUGGGCGCUGGAAACCCAACAUGCGAAAGUGGCUUUAAUAGCCUCACCUGAACCCACGAAAGCUGAGAAACAAACUGGGAUUAGAUACCCCACUAUGCUCAGCUGUAAACCUAGACAUUUGAAUACAGCCACAUGUCCGCCAGGGUACUACGAGCAUUAGCUUAAAACCCAAAGGACCUGACGGUGCCUCAGACCCCCCUAGAGGAGCCUGUUCUAGAACCGAUAAUCCCCGUUAAACCUCACCACUUCUGGCCAUCCCAGCCUAUAUACCGCCGUCGCCAGCUUACCCUGUGAAGGUAAUAAGAGUAAGCAGAAUGGACAAAAUCCAAAACGUCAGGUCGAGGUGUAGCGCACGGAGUGGGAAGAAAUGGGCUACAUUUUCUUAAGCAGAAUACUACGGACGCGCAACAUGAAAUAGUGCCUGAAGGAGGAUUUAGUAGUAAAAAGGAAAGAGAGUGUCCUUUUGAACCCGGCUCUGAGACGCGUACACACCGCCCGUCACUCUCCCCUGUCGAAAUGCAAUAUAGAUAACUAAUACCAACGCACUGACAAGGGGAGGCAAGUCGUAACAUGGUAAGUGUACCGGAAGGUGCACUUGGAUAAACC